Molecule: non-coding RNA, 477 nt
Organism: Trichosurus vulpecula (common brushtail)
Lineage: Eukaryota; Metazoa; Chordata; Mammalia; Diprotodontia; Phalangeridae
Source: the annotation of a RefSeq genome assembly
AUGACCCUCCCCUGCCAGGAAAAGGACCUGCCCCCUCUGCCCCAGGAGCCCCCAGGAUCACCCCAGCUGAGGAGCCUCAGGGCACAGAGGUCUGGGAGGAACCUUGACGAUGGCCUGGAUCUACACAGCUGUGGCUUUCCUGGGAGUCUUCCCCCUACAGGUUCUGGAGCCUCCUUUGUGCUGACUCAGCCAGUCUCAAUGUCCAAAAGCCUGGGAGGGAAGGCCUCUAUCUCCUGUGCUGCGGAUGGAAUUGGUAGGAAAGUUGUUCAAUGGUACCAGCAGAAACCUGGUCAGGCCCCUAAGCUGGUGAUUUAUGAUGAUAACAGCAGGCCCUUGGGGAUCUCUGACAGAUUCUGUGGCUCUACCUCAGGGAACACAGCCACCCUGAGCAUCUCUGGGCUUCAGGCUGAGGAUGAGGCUGAUUAUUACUGUCAGGUAUGGGAUAAUGAUGCUGAUGCUCACAGUGACACAGACUGA